AGGACGAACGCUGGCGGCGUGCUUAACACAUGCAAGUCGAGCGGAAAGGCCCUUCGGGGUACUCGAGCGGCGAACGGGUGAGUAACACGUGAGUAAUCUGCCCCCAGCUCUGGGAUAGCUCCGGGAAACCGGGAUUAAUACCGGAUACGACCACCUUAGACAUCUUUUGUGGUGGAAAGAAUUUCGGCUAGGGAUGAGCUCGCGGCCUAUCAGCUUGUUGGUGGGGUAACGGCCUACCAAGGCGACGACGGGUA
Molecule: ribosomal RNA, 254 nt
Filed under: uncultured bacterium
Lineage: Bacteria
Description: partial small subunit ribosomal RNA
Rfam family: Bacterial small subunit ribosomal RNA
Source: RNAcentral